CCCUACGGGGGGCAGCAGUGAGGAAUAUUGGUCAAUGGUCGGGAGACUGAACCAGCCAAGCCGCGUGAGGGAUGAAGGUACAGAGUAUCGUAAACCUCUUUUGUCAGGGAACAAAGGCGGGGACGCGUCCCCGGAUGAGUGUACCUGAAGAAAAAGCAUCGGCUAACUCCGUGCCAGCAGCCGCGGUAAUACGGAGGAUGCGAGCGUUAUCCGGAUUUAUUGGGUUUAAAGGGGGCGCAGGCGGUCGGUUAAGUCAGCGGUAAAAGCCCGGGGCUCAACCCCGGCCCGCCGUUGAAACUGGCAGG
Molecule: ribosomal RNA, 305 nt
Filed under: uncultured bacterium
Lineage: Bacteria
Description: bacterial SSU rRNA
Rfam family: Bacterial small subunit ribosomal RNA
Source: RNAcentral